Molecule: long non-coding RNA, 1493 nt
Filed under: Homo sapiens (human)
Lineage: Eukaryota; Metazoa; Chordata; Mammalia; Primates; Hominidae
Description: HSALNT0190732
Rfam family: 7SK RNA (bases 929-1233)
Source: RNAcentral
UGGCCUCCCAAAGUGCUGGGAUUACAGCAUGAGCCACCACUCACAGCCUAUGUUUUCUUACAUCAAAAAUAAAAUCUCAGAGAUUUUGCAUUCUUUAAUGAAUUCUGCAUUGUGUAACACGAGUUAUUACUGCAUUAUGGCUUUGUUUUUUAAAGGAGAAUUUUCCAACUCUUUUGAAACUCCCCUGCAUCUGCUGUCCAUAUCUUCAUCACAUUAUCUUUCCACAUUCUCCUUCCUGUCUCCCUUUCAGUCAUUCUUUCCCUUUUUGCUCAUCAUUAUUCCAACCUAGUUCUUCAUAUCUCACUUUUCUCCAAUGCAGGAUGAUUUUCUCCCUUCUUGGCCAGAAGUGGAUGUUGUAUAUGAAAUCUUGUCACAAAUGGAGGAAAUUUCCAGCCAUUUAAAAUAAAUCAGGAAAACAGACCUGCUGAUCUGAAUGUAGUUUAUCUUUUGCAACAAGAGUGACUCUGUGGAAUGCUCAAAUAUAUUUCUAUUCCAGAAAGUCAGUCUUCAUCUAUUGAUGAUUAUAGAUUGCAUAAGCAUAGCACUUUUCACAUGUUCCCUGAUUUGCAUUCCUUCUAUUCAAUAAUUCAUUCCAUAGCCCAUACAACACAAUAUCUCAUUGUCAAUUUUUAAUAUCUCUACCUUGGUUUCAAUCCAUCAUUCUAUCUGAAAUAGCAAAACCUCACUACAGUCAUGCUCUGUGUUAGUUCAUUUUUUGCUGCUUGUAACAGAAUACUUAAAACUGGAUAAUUUAUAAAGAAAAGGAAUUUGUUUAUAACUUAGAGUUAUGGAGGCUGGAAAGUCUGAGGUAGAGAGAACAUAUCUGGUGAAAGCCUUCUUGCUGGUGGAGCAACAGGCGGCAUCACAUGGUGAGGGGACUGAACAUGUUAGUUCAGGUCUCUCUUCUUCUCAUAAAGCUACCAGUCCUGGAUGUGAGGGUGAUCUGUCUGUGACAUCUGCCACCCCAUUGAUAGCCCGAGUUGACUUGGCUGAUCUGGCCAGCUAGGCGGUUGUCCCCUUCCUCCCUCACCACUCCAUGUGUGUCCCUCCCAAAGCUGUGCUCGGUGAAAGAGGAUUACCAUCCCUGAUAGAAGAGGACUGGUCUUCGGUCAAGGGUAUACGGGCAACUGCGCUCCCCUGCUAGAACCUCCAAACAAGCUCUCAAGGUCCACCAGUCCCACUCCCAUGAUAACCCAUUAAUCCAUUGACCCAUUAAUCCAUGAGUGGAUUAAUCUAUUCACGAGGGAAGAUACCUCAUGACCCAAUCACCUCUUAAAUGAUAUGAAAUGAAUAUACCUCAUGACCCUCCUCACCUCUCAGUGCUGCCACAUUGGGGAUUAAGUUUCAACAUGAAUUUUUUUUUUCUUGAGAUAGAGUGUUGUUCUGUCACCCACGCUAGAGUGCAGUGGCGCUAUCUUGCCUCACUGCAACUUCCGCCUCCUGGGUUCAAGCAAUUCUCGAGCUUCAGCCUCUCCAUAGCUGGGAUUAUAGGU